This 22-nucleotide microRNA is filed under the name Heliconius melpomene (postman butterfly). RNAcentral describes it as "Hme-Novel-4_5p (mature (co-guide))". Lineage: Eukaryota; Metazoa; Arthropoda; Insecta; Lepidoptera; Nymphalidae. The record is from RNAcentral.
AUGAUGAUCAUGAUGAUGAAUA